GAUGAACGCUGGCGGCGUGCCUAAUACAUGCAAGUCGAGCGAACGGACGAGAAGCUUGCUUCUCUGAUGUUAGCGGCGAACGGGUGAGUAACACGUGGAUAACCUACCUAUAAGACUGGGAUAACUUCGGGAAACCGGAGCUAAUACCGGAUAAUAUUUUGAACCGCAUGGUUCAAAAGUGAAAGACGGUCUUGCUGUCACUUAUAGAUGGAUCCGCGCUGCAUUAGCUAGUUGGUAAGGUAACGGCUUACCAAGGCAACGAUGCAUAGCCGACCUGAGAGGGUGAUCGGCCACACUGGAACUGAGACACGGUCCAGACUCCUACGGGAGGCAGCAGUAGGGAAUCUUCCGCAAUGGGCGAAAGCCUGACGGAGCAACGCCGCGUGAGUGAUGAAGGUCUUCGGAUCGUAAAACUCUGUUAUUAGGGAAGAACAUAUGUGUAAGUAACUGUGCACAUCUUGACGGUACCUAAUCAGAAAGCCACGGCUAACUACGU
This 496-nucleotide ribosomal RNA is filed under the name uncultured bacterium. Its description in RNAcentral is "partial 16S ribosomal RNA". It matches the Rfam family "Bacterial small subunit ribosomal RNA", at positions 28 to 506 of the family's 1533-position model. The record is from RNAcentral.